AUUGAACGCUGGCGGCAGGCCCAACACAUGCAAGUCGAGCGGAUGAAGGGAGCUUGCUCCUGGAUUCAGCGGCGGACGGGUGAGUAAUGCCUAGGAAUCUGCCUGGUAGUGGGGGAUAACGUCCGGAAACGGGCGCUAAUACCGCAUACGUCCUGAGGGAGAAAGUGGGGGAUCUUCGGACCUCACGCUAUCAGAUGAGCCUAGGUCGGAUUAGCUAGUUGGUGGGGUAAAGGCCUACCAAGGCGACGAUCCGUAACUGGCCUGAGAGGAUGAUCAGUCACACUGGAACUGAGACACGGUCCAGACUCCUACGGGAGGCAGCAGUGGGGAAUAUUGGACAAUGGGCGAAAGCCUGAUCCAGCCAUGCCGCGUGUGUGAAGAAGGUCUUCGGAUUGUAAAGCACUUUAAGUUGGGAGGAAGGGCAGUAAGUUAAUACCUUGCUGUUUUGACGUUACCAACAGAAUAAGCACCGGCUAACUUCGUG
Molecule: ribosomal RNA, 484 nt
Filed under: uncultured bacterium
Lineage: Bacteria
Description: partial 16S ribosomal RNA
Rfam family: Bacterial small subunit ribosomal RNA
Source: RNAcentral